This 253-nucleotide ribosomal RNA is filed under the name uncultured bacterium. Its description in RNAcentral is "partial 16S ribosomal RNA". It matches the Rfam family "Bacterial small subunit ribosomal RNA", at positions 524 to 776 of the family's 1533-position model. The record is from RNAcentral.
UACGAAGGGUGCAAGCGUUAGUCGGAAUUACUGGGCGUAAAGCGUGCGUAGGCGGUUUCUUGAGUCCGUUGUGAAAGCCCUGGGCUCAACCUGGGAACUGCAGUGGAUACUGAGAGGCUAGAGUGUGUCAGAGGAUGGUGGAAUUCCCGGUGUAGCGGUGAAAUGCGUAGAGAUCGGGAGGAACAUCAGUGGCGAAGGCGGCCAUCUGGGACAACACUGACGCUGAGGCACGAAAGCGUGGGGAGCAAACAGG